CAGCCGCCGCGGGAAUACGUAGGUGGCAAGCGUUGUCCGGAUUUAUUGGGCGUAAAGGGCUCGCAGGCGGUUUCUUAAGUCUGAUGUGAAAGCCCCCGGCUCAAGCGGGGAGGGUCAUUGGAAACUGGGAAACUCGAGUGCAGAAGAGGAGAGUGGAAUUCCACGUGUAGCGGUGAAAUGCGUAGAGAUGUGGAGGAACACCAGUGGCGAAGGCGACUCUCUGGUCUGUAACUGACGCUGAGGAGCGAAAGCGUGGGGAGCGAACAGGAUUAGAUACCCGAGUAGUCCCUGUCUCUUAUAC
This 301-nucleotide ribosomal RNA is filed under the name uncultured bacterium. Its description in RNAcentral is "partial 16S ribosomal RNA". It matches the Rfam family "Bacterial small subunit ribosomal RNA", at positions 509 to 807 of the family's 1533-position model. The record is from RNAcentral.